This 253-nucleotide ribosomal RNA is filed under the name uncultured bacterium. Its description in RNAcentral is "partial 16S ribosomal RNA". It matches the Rfam family "Bacterial small subunit ribosomal RNA", at positions 524 to 776 of the family's 1533-position model. The record is from RNAcentral.
UACGUAGGGUGCGAGCGUUGUCCGGAAUUAUUGGGCGUAAAGAGCUCGUAGGCGGCUUGUCGCGUCGGAUGUGAAAGCCCGGGGCUUAACUCCGGGUCUGCAUUCGAUACGGGCAGGCUAGAGUUCGGUAGGGGAGAUCGGAAUUCCUGGUGUAGCGGUGAAAUGCGCAGAUAUCAGGAGGAACACCAGUGGCGAAGGCGGUGCUCUGGGCCGGAACUGACGCUGAGGAGCGAAAGCGUGGGGAGCAAACAGG